Molecule: ribosomal RNA, 403 nt
Filed under: Verrucomicrobiota bacterium
Lineage: Bacteria; Pseudomonadati; Verrucomicrobiota
Description: Verrucomicrobia bacterium partial 16S ribosomal RNA
Rfam family: Bacterial small subunit ribosomal RNA
Source: RNAcentral
UGGGGAAUAUUGCGCAAUGGGGGCAACCCUGACGCAGCAACGCCGCGUGCGGGACGACGGCCUUCGGGUUGUAAACCGCUUUCAGCAGGGAAGAUAGUGACGGUACCUGCACAAGAAGCCCCGGCUAACUACGUGCCAGCAGCCGCGGUAAUACGUAGGGGGCGAGCGUUAUCCGGAUUCAUUGGGCGUAAAGCGCGCGCAGGCGGCUCUUCAAGCGGAACCUCUAACCCCGGGGCUCAACCUCGGGCCGGGUUCCGAACUGGGGGGCUCGAGUGCGGGAGAGGCAGGCGGAAUUCCCGGUGUAGCGGUGGAAUGCGCAGAUAUCGGGAAGAACACCGAUGGCGAAGGCAGCCUGCUGGGCCGGCACUGACGCUGAGGCGCGAAAGCUAGGGGAGCGAACAGG